RNAcentral lists this ribosomal RNA (254 nucleotides) under uncultured bacterium. RNAcentral's name for it is "partial 16S ribosomal RNA". It matches the Rfam family "Bacterial small subunit ribosomal RNA", at positions 524 to 776 of the family's 1533-position model. The record is from RNAcentral.
UACGAAGGGGGGCUAGCGUUGCUCGGAAUUACUGGGCGUAAAGCGCACGUAGGCGGUCUUUUAAGUCGGGGGUGAAAUCCUGGAGCUCAACUCCAGAACUGCCUUCGAUACUGGAAGACUUGAGUCCGGGAGAGGUGAGUGGAACUGCGAGUGUAGAGGUGAAAUUCGUAGAUAUUCGCAAGAACACCAGUGGCGAAGGCGGCUCACUGGCCCGGUACUGACGCUGAGGUGCGAAAGCGUGGGGAGCAAACAGG